Molecule: long non-coding RNA, 181 nt
Organism: Zingiber officinale
Lineage: Eukaryota; Viridiplantae; Streptophyta; Magnoliopsida; Zingiberales; Zingiberaceae
Exons: 3
Source: RefSeq, a predicted model, not a curated record
GAGGAAUGAUUGCUUGGCCUUGUCAUCUGUUGGCAAUAAGCGAAGAUUUCUAUUAGUGCAUAUAGAAUGAUACUUUAUAUGUUUCUCAUUUGGUGACAGGUACUUAGAUUUUGCAUAUGAUGGUUGAAGAUGGUUGAUAGUAAAUUAGUUGAGUUUUUAUUUUAUAAGACUUAGUUUUAAA